GGGUAGAUUUCAAGUAACAAUUAGCACCGAAGUUACGUCGAUGAUAUUCUAAAAUACUUCACUUCCUGAUGUAACAAAAUGCAUCAUACCAGUAGAAAAGAGGUUUCGAGUUAAAAUUACAAAGUGCUCACAUCCAGUUGUCCAUACAGAUGAUCCUUCAAUCGUUCAAUUCACAAUCAACGACUGACCCUAGUAAAUCUCCGUACAGCCCGUACGAUCCCAUUGGCAUACCCUCCAACCGAAGUCGUAAUGGAAAUGCAACGAUGGGGGAUGACUGGGAAAGCUUCAACUGCGAGGAAUCUGAUAACGAGGGGCUAGCAGACCUGCUCGGUGCCGAUGAUUUCCACAAACACGUACAGCCUACAAUCUCCCAUGCAGCCAAAUAACACCGUCUAUUGCUCUCUACCUAAGCUAUUAGAUUAGACAUAUCCCCUUUAUUGAAUUUUCGUAUUUCAGCAGGAAAUUUAAUAUGACGUUAAUUGAACCCACCAGCAUAUUUUCGGAACAUUAGGAUUUUUGAGAAAGGAAUGAUCUCUAACAAGAAAGCGUGAUUACUUGAUGAGAAAUCAGAUCCCAAAUUAAAUUCGUAUAUUUUUCCGCCCCUAAUAAUAGAACCGAAAAAUAUUAAUCAAGAUGGGAACUCGUAUUAUGGUUUAUGGUAUGGAUUUGUAUGGAGUAAGUGAGCCCGAUUUUUCGGAGAAAGUCGUUAAUAUAAACAAUUUAAAUUGUUCUAUUGAGGAUAUAAAAUUCUUUAACAAAAUCAA
This is a long non-coding RNA of Harmonia axyridis, 764 nucleotides long. RefSeq lists it as uncharacterized. The record is from RefSeq and is a predicted model, not a curated record. NCBI's taxonomy places the organism in Eukaryota, Metazoa, Arthropoda, Insecta, Coleoptera, Coccinellidae. The transcript has 2 exons.